ACUAAGUUGGCAGAUAAAUGCGUGAAAUUUAGAAUUUCAAGAUAAAAUUAUAAUUUUAUUUAGUA
Molecule: transfer RNA, 65 nt
Filed under: Neelus murinus
Lineage: Eukaryota; Metazoa; Arthropoda; Collembola; Neelipleona; Neelidae
Description: tRNA-Leu
Source: RNAcentral